This 321-nucleotide long non-coding RNA is filed under the name Homo sapiens (human). Its description in RNAcentral is "HSALNT0242744". Lineage: Eukaryota; Metazoa; Chordata; Mammalia; Primates; Hominidae. The record is from RNAcentral.
UGGACUUCCAAAACACACCCUUUGGGGGUAUAUUUUCCGAGCAAAGCAAUGGGGUUAGGAUAAAUGUAGCAUCUCUCUGUUCUUUCCACAGACACUGAGUUGGUUCCCAGGGCAGCCAAAGGGCUUAUUGACUCCCUUUUAUCUCCUCUUCUGGGACUCUAUUCUCCCUUAUAGUGGGAGACCAGCCCAAGGCUAUUGUUCCAGGCUGCAAAGAACAGUGGCUUAAGCUAGCUGGGUAACAGAAAAAAUGACAAGGUAUACAUACCUCAAGAGGUUGUUCUGAGAAUCCACUGAGGUUCUCUCCAGAUGUGAAGAAAAUUG